UAGUUAUAUAUUUUUUGCUGGUUAACAAUGUGGCUAGUAUCAAUCUAUUUAAUUACUUCAAGUGUUCUCAAUAUAAACUUGUCUCUUUUAAAUUGUGUUAAGUGGUCAAUGUUAGUCCAAUUUAUUGAAUUUUUCUUUGCUUUGUUUAUAACUAAAGAUAAACCUUGUUUCUUGCAAAAAUAAAUUGAUUUGUGGCCCAAAUA
Molecule: unclassified non-coding RNA, 203 nt
Filed under: Hevea brasiliensis (rubber tree)
Lineage: Eukaryota; Viridiplantae; Streptophyta; Magnoliopsida; Malpighiales; Euphorbiaceae
Source: RNAcentral